Molecule: RNA transcript, 1219 nt
Organism: Neltuma alba
Lineage: Eukaryota; Viridiplantae; Streptophyta; Magnoliopsida; Fabales; Fabaceae
Gene name: acetyltransferase At1g77540
Exons: 4
Source: RefSeq, a predicted model, not a curated record
CUCAUGUCACAUGCGAUGCAAACAGGCAUCUCUAUUCCCUCGUGCCUCCUUUUGCCAUUGCGUUUACCAAUCUCUUUCCUUCCUUGAUUAAAAGCGUCCCCUUCCCCCUUCCUUGUUUUGCCAUCUCGCGCUCUCCCCUCUCUUUCGACACCGGGGGCAAUGGCAGCGACGACCAAAUCGGAGGGGCAGAGUGGCGCCAAGGCUGUUCCGAAGAUAGUUUUGAACGAAAGACAGCACAAGUUCGAGACGGAGGACAAGGAGUCGUAUAUACAGUACGUGCUGAGAAAUGAUGGUAAGGUCAUGGACUUGAUCCACACUUUUGUGCCCUCUUCCAAGAGGAGUUUGGGCUUGGCCUCUCAUCUCUGUGUUGCCGCCUUUCGUCACGCCCAGUCCCAUUCCCUCUCGGUUAUCCCAACCUGUUCUUACGUCUCUGACACGUUUGUUCCGAGGAACCCAUCUUGGAGGUCUGUCUUGUACACAGAGGGCGGAAAAUCCAAUAUGUGAACUCAACAAUCAUUGAGCUUUGAAAUAGAUGUGUAGGCUUUUUCUGAAGCCUUGAAUUAGGGAGCUCUGCAAAAUUCUUGUGGACUCAAUUCUCAUGACUUUGCCGGUAAUUGGACAAGAGAUCACAUCUCCACCACCAGGGGUCAGAACAUCAAUGUGGACCAGGUAUACAGGGGAAGCUAAUAAUUAAACUUACAAAUUCACUGCUAAAAUUGGCCAGUCUAAUUAAUUCAGUCCAACAGGCGAUGUUAACACUGUCCAAGAAAGGCAUGGUCGAAUGAGAAUUGAAAGCCAGAUUCGAGGCGGGUGGCAAAAUAUCAGGUUCAGGGAAUAUAAUCCAGCUGGUCACCGCCAUAUACACAUAUCCGCGACAAGCACCUUCGACUAACACAAGUUGUCGGUGUUAUAUAAAGGCAUUCAUGCAUCAUCUCACAAACAUACCACAUGUUUACUCUGUUUUUGCCUUGUCAUCUUUCUGUAUACCUACUUACUAGAUUGAUCAACCUUUUUAAUCUGGUCAACACCCCUUGUAGCCGCUUCUUCCUCUUUAACCUAUGCAGUAUGCAUAGUCCCAUUCUCUGUGUGUGUGUGUACAUACUACUCUUAAUUUUUUUAGCAACUUGUAAAGCUUGCUGUCAAACUAUAUUUCACUGUUAGACUGUGAAGAUUGUUAGAACGAUACCAGCUCAAUAUUAUUGUUGGUGACAAUCGGUUA